Molecule: ribosomal RNA, 442 nt
Filed under: uncultured bacterium
Lineage: Bacteria
Description: partial 16S ribosomal RNA
Rfam family: Bacterial small subunit ribosomal RNA
Source: RNAcentral
CUACGGGUCGCUGCAGUGGGGAAUCUUGCGCAAUGGGCGAAAGCCUGACGCAGCAACGCCGCGUGCGGGAUGACGGCCUUCGUGGUUGUAAACCGCUUUCAGCAGGGACGAAAAUGACGGUACCUGCAGAAGAAGCUCCGGCUAACUACGUGCCAGCAGCCGCGGUAAUACGUAGGGGGCAAGGCGUUGUCCGGAUUCAUUGGGCGUAAAGAGCUCGUAGGCGGUUCAGUAAGUCGGGUGUGAAAGCUCCGAGCUCAACUCGGAGAGGCCACCCGAUACUGCUGUGACUCGAGUCCGGUAGAGGAGCGUGGAACUCCUGGUGUAGCGGUGAAAUGCGCAGAUAUCAGGAAGAACACCCGUAGCGAAGGCGGCGCUCUGGGCCGGUACUGACGCUGAGGAGCGAAAGCGUGGGUAGCAAACAGGAUUAGAUACCCCCGUAGUC